This 907-nucleotide ribosomal RNA is filed under the name uncultured bacterium. RNAcentral describes it as "bacterial SSU rRNA". It matches the Rfam family "Bacterial small subunit ribosomal RNA", at positions 8 to 916 of the family's 1533-position model. The record is from RNAcentral.
AGAGUUUGAUCAUGGCUCAGGAUGAACGCUGGCGGCGUGCUUAACACAUGCAAGUCGAACGGAGCUAUGACACGGAGUCUUCGGAUGAAGUGCUAUUGCUUAGUGGCGGACGGGUGAGUAACACGUGAGCAACCUACCUUUUGCAGGGGAAUAACUCUGGGAAACCAGAGCUAAUACCGCAUGCCGUGCGCUUGGGGCAUCCCAGGUGCAUGAAAGGAGCAAUCCGGCAGAAGAUGGGCUCGCGUCCGAUUAGGUAGUUGGAGAGGUAAUGGCUCCCCAAGCCGACGAUCGGUAGCCGGACUGAGAGGUCGAUCGGCCACAUUGGGACUGAGACACGGCCCAGACUCCUACGGGAGGCAGCAGUGGGGAAUAUUGGGCAAUGGGCGGAAGCCUGACCCAGCGACGCCGCGUGAAGGAGGAAGGCUUUCGAGUUGUAAACUUCUUUGGGGAGGGACGAAGAUGACGGUACCUCCAGAACAAGCCACGGCUAACUACGUGCCAGCAGCCGCGGUAAUACGUAGGUGGCGAGCGUUAUCCGGAUUUACUGGGUGUAAAGGGCGCGCAGGCGGCCCUGGAAGUCAGAUGUGAAAGAUCAAGGCUUAACUUUGACAGGUCAUCUGAAACUUUGGGGCUUGAGUAUCAGAGGGGAAAGUGGAAUUCCUAGUGGAGCGGUAAAAUGCACAGAGAUUAGGAGGAACACCGGUGGCGAAGGCGACUUUCUGGCUGACAACUGACGCUGAGGCGCGAAAGCGUGGGGAGCAAACAGGAUUAGAUACCCUGGUAGUCCACGCCGUAAACGAUGAUUGCUAGGUGUGGGGGGACUGAUCCCUUCCGUGCCGGAGUUAACACAAUAAGCAAUCCACCUGGGGAGUACGACCGCAAGGUUGAAACUCAAAGGAAUUGACGG